Molecule: non-coding RNA, 3859 nt
Organism: Caretta caretta (loggerhead turtle)
Lineage: Eukaryota; Metazoa; Chordata; Testudines; Cheloniidae
Source: RefSeq, a predicted model, not a curated record
CGAUGGUGCGGCGGAAGGAGGGAAGCGGGCUCUGCCGACUAUUAGCCCAGUCGCCCGAGAGGGGGAUCACGAUGGAGGAGGUAUUGUUCAUGUACACUAGGAGUUUGUGAUUUUGAUGAAAAGCCGUGAACUGAACUGAAACAAAGCCUUGUGAAAGCGGUGUCAAAUCUCUUCUCUGGAAAUGUUGUCCAUCUUUGGUGCAGAGAGAGAUAAACAAAGGGUGCUCGCAGCCAGCCAGACUUUGUAUGAUUUCAUAUACAUAUAUGUCUCUUCCACUAAUACAAUAUUUCGAAUCCUCAAUCAGCACCUUGGCACCAGCUUCCCCAUCAUUACAGUGAGGGAAAACCUCAGCAUUAAGGAGAACCUUCAGCUCCUGAUCAGUACUCUGAAAGAGAUGCAGGCUGUUGUGGAAAUGAAAGACAAAGAUGUGCAGCAGAGCAUCAGCCACCGUUUAUAUGCUAAGAUGGUUGGGCCCAUCACUUCUCUGCAGGAGAAGAUUACUGUUGUGAAGGACCUUUAUGAAAAUUAUAAGGGAAUCCUAGGAAGUAUCGGUGGUCCGGUCGCUGCCGUGCUACUGAAACACAGCAAUCUCCCUGAGACUGUAGAGUCUGCCGUUCAUCAUCUAAUGACUUCCCCUGCCCUGUCCCUCCAAGUGGCUGACCUUCUCAUGAGCCACAAUGAAAUUGUCAAAAUACUCCCAACUGUCACUGAGAACAGCCCUUCUGGGAGUAGGAUUCAAGAAUCUAGACCUCGCGGUCCAUCAACUGCCUUCUCAUUUUCCAAUUUCUUGCAGGCUGUGCUUUGGGGAAAGGCUUCUACAAACACUCUGAAAAUAGCUGCAGACUAUCUGGAGGAGGCUGUCAGAGUGCUGAGACCAUCUUGUGAAUCUUUCCAGUGCAUUGUUAAACUGGCUGAGGUCUAUAUCUCACUGAUAACAGACAAGUUGCAGUGAUCCAUUUUUAGAAAUAUGCUUCUGUUCCUUCUUUUCUUACAACAAGGGAUGUUGCACAAAGAAACAAGAGAAAGUUGCGGCUAAUUUCUGAUUCCACAAUAAUUUCUGCAAUCACUUUUAGUGUCUAGAUUUGAGCAUUGCACUAAGGCAUCAAGGUGAAGUCUUCUUGCUUUGUUAAUUUAAAAACUUGAUCAAUAAAAAUCAACAGGAAACUAAUGUAAACAGGAAAAAAGUCUAAGAAUCAAAAUGCUGAAACAGUAUCUGUUUUAGCAAGUGUGUUUAAACUUUCUGGGCAAGCUUUUUAGAUUAUUCUGAUAGCAACAAUUCAUUUUGACAGGUCAGGUUAUAGUGGCUAUCUAACAGGAAUUAGCUCAUUCAAAAUAAGCUAUGAUAGUACUGGUCACUGGGAGGUUAACCAUCAUGGUUGGAUUUUCAUCUGACGACCAACUGGGAAUAGUAAAUCACUGUGAUUUGAGAUGAGAAGUAACUAGAUAAUCUGUGGUAGAGUGAAAAAUAAUCUUUGUCUACACUAUGAAAUUAGGUCGAAUUUAUAGAAGUCGGUUUUGUAGAAAGCGGUUUUAUACAGUCGAUUGUGUGUGUCCCCACACAAAUGCUCUAAGUGCAUGUAGUCAGCGGAGUGUGUCCACAGUACCGAGGCAACCAUCGACUUCCAGAGCGUUGCACUGUGGGUAGCUAUCCCACAGUUCUCGCAGUCUCCACUGCCCAUUUGAAUUCUGGGUAGAAAUCCCAGUGCCUGAUGGGGCUAAAACAUUGUCGCGGGUGGUUCUGGGUACAUAUCGUCAGGCCCCCCUUCCCUUCCUCCUUCCGUGAAAGCAAAGACAGACAAUCCUUUUGCACCUUUUUUCUUGAGUUACCUGUGCAGACGCCAUACCAAAGCAAGCAUGGAGCUCGCUCAGCUCACCGUCACCGUAUGUCUCCUGGGUGCUGGCAGACGUGGUACUGCAUUGCUACACAGCAGCAGUUAAUUGCCUUUUGGCAGCAGACAGUGCAGUAUGACUGGUAGACGUCGUCGACGUAGUCCAGGGUGCUCUUUUAACUGACCUCGAUGAGGUCAGGGGUGCCUGGGCAAACGUGGGAGUGACUUAGCUAGGUCAUUUCCCUUUUAAGUUUCGUCUCAUGGCGAUUCAGUUCUACUGGCAGUGCACUGUCUUUUAAUCAGCAGCCAGCAGAAGACGAUGGCCAGCAGUCAUACUGCACUGUCUUCUGCCGAGCACCCAGGAGAUGAUGAUGGCCAGCAGUCGUACUGCACCGUCUGCUGCCAGCAAGAUGUAUAAAGAUAGAUGAAGUGGAUCAAAACAAGAAAUAGACCAGAUUUGUUUUGUAUUCAUUUUCUCCUCCCUCCCUCCAUGAAAUCAAUGGCCUGCUAAACCCAGUUUUGAGUUCUAUCCUUGAGGUUUUGAGUUCUAUCCUUGAGGGGGCCAUUCUGUUUCUCGCAAAGCCACCCCCUUUGUUGAUUUUAAUUCCUUGUAGGCCAACCCUGUAAGCCAUGUUGUCAGUUGCCCAUCCCUCCACCAGAGCAAUGGCAAACAAUUGUUUCGUGCCCUUUUCCCUGGAUUGCCCAAGCAGGAGCAGAUGCCAUCGUACAGCAAGCAUGGAGCCCGUUCAGCUCACUCCAGCAGUUAUGACCAUUGUAAACACCUUGCGCAUUAUCGUGUAUGUGUAUGCAGAACCACCACCUGAAAAACCAGGCGAGGAGGCGAUGGCAGCGCGGUGAUGAGGACAUGAACACACUUUUCUCUAAAACCGCGUUCCCCCGCAAUUUGGAGAUCAUGGUGUUAAUGGGGCAGGCUCAUGCCGUGGAACGCCGAUUCUGGGCCCAGGAAACAAGCACAGAGUGGUGGGACCGUAUAGUGUUGCUGGUCUGGGAUGAUUCCCAGUGGCUCCGAAACUUUCGCAUGUGUAAGGGCACUUUCAUGAAACUUUGUGACUUGCUUUCCCCUGCCCUGAAGCACAAGAAUACCAAGAUGAGAGCAGCCCUUACAGUUCACAAACAAGUGGCAAUAGCUCUGUGGAAGCUUGCAACGCCAGACAGCUACCGGUCAGUCGGUAAUCAAUUUGAAGUGGGCAAAUCUACUGUGGGGGUUGCUGUGAUGCAAGUAGCCAGUGCAAUCAUUGAGCUGCUGCUAUCAAAGGUAGUGACUCUGGGAAAUGUGCAGGUCAUAUUAGAUGGCUUUGCUGCAAUGGGAUUCCCUAACUGUGGUGGGGCUAUUGACGGAAUGCAUAUCCCUAUCUUGGGACCGGAUCACCAGGGCAGGCAGUACAUAAACUGCAAGGGGUACUUUUCAGUGGUGCUGCAAGCACUGGUGGAUCACAAGGGACGUUUCACCAACAUCAACGUGGGAUGACCAGGAAAGGUUCAUGACGCUUGCGUCUUCAGGAACUCUGGUCUGUUUAAGCAGCUGCAGGAAGGGAUUUACUUCACAGACCAGAAAAUAACUGUUGGGUAUGUUGAAAUGCCUUUAGUUAUCCUUGGGGACCCAGCCUACCCCUUAAUGCCCUGGCUCAUGAAGCCGUACACAGGCACCCUGGACCGUAGUCAGGAGCUGUUCAACUAUAGGCUGAGCAAGUGCAGAAUGGUGGUAGAGUGUGCAUUUGGAUGUUUAAAGGGUCACUGGCGCAGUUUACUGACUCGCUCAGACCUCAGCGUAACCAACAUUCCCAUUGUUAUUGUUGCUUGCUGUGUGCUCCACAAUCUCUGUGAGAGUAAGAGGGAGAUGUUUAUGGUAGGGUGGGAGGUUGAUGCAAAUCGCCUGGCCGCUGAAUACGCACAGCCAGACACCAGGGCAGUUCGAAGAGCACAGCAGGAAGCGGUACGCAUCAGAGAAGCUUUGAAAACCAGUUUCAUGACUGGCCAGGGUACUGUGUGACACUUCUGUUUGUUUCUCC